CAGGGUUCAGGAAGCCUCUUGGUCCGCAACAUCCCACUGAGCUGCAGGCCGGAGGAUCUACGGGUUCCUUUUGAAAGGUUUGGUCCUGUUCGGGAUGUGUACCUGCCAAAGGAUUAUUACACCAGAGUCUUGUCCGAAUGAAGAAGUUCUUCUAUGAAGACAAAGAUUUG
Triticum dicoccoides is the source of this 170-nucleotide long non-coding RNA. RefSeq lists it as uncharacterized. The record is from RefSeq and is a predicted model, not a curated record. The transcript is spliced from 3 exons. Lineage: Eukaryota; Viridiplantae; Streptophyta; Magnoliopsida; Poales; Poaceae.